ACAUCUGAAACGCUAAUGUAUUAUAAAUAUUAAAUUCUAAUUAAAAUACAUUGAGUAACUAUACUCAGAACACACAUAAUUAGAAUAAAAGUAGAUAAAUAAUUGUAGCCAUGAAUGCAAAACAGUGUAUACUGGACAUGUUUGUGUUUUCGAUAUCGUUUUAUUUGUCAUAUAAAGUUAUGAACAGGGUGAUAGACAGAUUCAGGGAUCCGAGAGCGACGAAAGCCUAACUAAAAUAAGGAUCCCAAAACUGAAAACCGAGAUCAGAUGCCACAGGUGGUGACUGGUGACCGAUAGCCUCACUGCAAAUAUUUAGUACCGUUUUGUUUUGAUAUCAUUGUAACAUGUAAGAAUUAAGAAAUAAAUUUUGUAAAAAAGCUAUUUAUAAGUUUUUAUUUAUUGACGCUAGUCACGUUGUCUACCUUUCUGUUGGUUCAAAAUCAAAUCUUGGAAGUUGAAUUUGACCUACUUCCCGGGUUGACAAUGACCUUAAUUUCGACAGCAUCUAAGAAACUAGAAGGUGGCUAUAGGCAAUCCUCAAAAAACACCAUCGAGUUAAUUGUCUUUUCGAGUAAUUCGAGUCUAAAGCAAAAAUAAAUGUAAAAUCUUGGUUUUGAGAAUGUUUUUUGAAAUAAAGUGGGCUGGCGGAUUCUGGAAAUAAUGAUACAUCUUAUAAUUAAGAUUAAUAUUUCAAAACCAAGUAAAAUAUUGCCAUUUAUUCACCUAUAACAUACUGAGAGAACGAGGGGCUAAAACAUUAAGACUAUAGAUUAUCAUUUUAAUAUCUUAUAUCAUACGAUCCAUACUUAUUACACAGAACUAUUUACUCAAAACUCACCAUAGAGAAGAAACUGGCUUACAAAAAAACACUAUAAUCUUCUGUGACACUGACAUUUAAGCAAAUCAUCAAAAAUAUAUCUAACCCAAAAACAUGUUAGCAAAACCCUUAAAAAAUCUACAUUCCAUACGAUAAAUGUGCAUUUGAUUUAUGAUAUUUAGCAUAACACAAGAAAUAUCAUUAACAUCCUCAAUAAUAAUGAACUCAGCAUUAUUUAAAUACGGUCGAAUGGAGAAGUAACGAACCCAACGUGAGGUAGUCCUAUGGGUCUGUUGGACAAGCAAGUAUGAAUGCCAAACAACUUGCACUAGAUUUGUGGGUGUUUUCCGUAUCUUUCUACAUAUCUUAUAAAGCAACGAAUAGACUGUCGAAUCAUUUUAAUACUGAUCGCAAGGAGAAGGCGAAGUCAAAAGUAUGAACAAAAGACAGAUUCUAUUAGACUUGUGGGUGUUCACCAUUUCGUUUUACAUAUCAUAUAAAGUUAUGAAGAGAUUAACGAACGCAUUCAACAAGUAACGAGGCGAUGAGACCUCAAAGUUAUCAGAGGUCUCGUUGAAAGGAGAUAUAAUGUAGGGUAAGUGUUCAAGGGCUGCGGAGGCGGCGGUAUGUGGUAGAAGUACGGCGGUGUGUACAACAUGUCGUCAAAUCCCGGGGCUAUGGGCGUCCCUCGCGACGGCACCAGCGACCGCACUGUCCCGUACAAGCUCCUGUUUCGUCCCUGACUCCCGUACAUGUUCAACAUCACACCGAAUUCACACUGGCUCAUAUAUUAUCUCCAAAUGUUCACGUUCGAAAACAGUCUCAUGAAAAAACGCACAAACGUAAAACAGCUCUCGAAAAGUCCAUCGCGGUACACAGUUUUCAAGUAUAACUUAUUUUUAAAAAUAAAAAAAUAAGCUACUAGA
Molecule: long non-coding RNA, 1743 nt
Organism: Trichoplusia ni (cabbage looper)
Lineage: Eukaryota; Metazoa; Arthropoda; Insecta; Lepidoptera; Noctuidae
Exons: 5
Source: RefSeq, a predicted model, not a curated record